GGGGGUAUACGGUUUCAUCCUAAUCCACUCUCAAAUAUAUACUAUUCUUACUAAAUUUGACUUUGUUAUCAAUGUUCAUGCCACUUUCUAAUUUACCCUAAUCCCAAUGACUUGGUGAAAAAAGCCUACUCAUAAUUACUAGUUUACUAUGUCUAGUCUCCCUAGCAAUUAUUCAUGCAUUUGCACAAAAGCUUAAGGCAAUUGAUCCUCCUAUUCCUAUGUCUAGGUAAUAUUGCUAUCAAGAGAAUUUCCCAUGUCUAGACCUAACUAUAUGUGUCCAUAUAGAAAACAUCAAAGAUUAUGCGUUUGAAUAAUGUCUUAAACAAAGCAUGAAUUAUAACAGAGGAAAAACUCAAACAAAUGAUAAACAAAACAUAUGAAUAAAGUAAGAAUUUCAAUAUAAGAGAGUUUCAAAUACGAUUACAUCGUUC
This 431-nucleotide long non-coding RNA is filed under the name Vigna radiata. Its description in RNAcentral is "long non-coding RNA (VRAD_LNC012489)". Lineage: Eukaryota; Viridiplantae; Streptophyta; Magnoliopsida; Fabales; Fabaceae. The record is from RNAcentral.